RNAcentral lists this ribosomal RNA (117 nucleotides) under Rhizobium hidalgonense. RNAcentral describes it as "partial 16S ribosomal RNA". It matches the Rfam family "Bacterial small subunit ribosomal RNA", at positions 1 to 130 of the family's 1533-position model. The record is from RNAcentral. Lineage: Bacteria; Pseudomonadati; Pseudomonadota; Alphaproteobacteria; Hyphomicrobiales; Rhizobiaceae.
UCAACAUGAGAGUUUGAUCCUGGCUCAGAACGAACGCUGGCGGCAGGCUUAACACAUGCAAGUCGAGCGCCCCGCAAGGGGAGCGGCAGACGGGUGAGUAACGCGUGGGAAUCUACC